AAAACACAGAGUGAAGCCUGCUUGCAUCUCCCUGGGGUGUAGAGACUGACUUCCUCCCACAGCAACCCCAGGCUGGCUGCACCCUUUGCAGUGCAGCCUAAGAUGCCCAACUGUGGUCCCUCCUAGAGCCCCACUUAAUAGCUGUAUCACCAGAAGACUGUGCCUGACCAUCAGAGAGCUGUAUCACCAGAAGACUGUGCCUGACCAUCAGAGAGCUCCAUCAGAGCAGCCCCCACUGGCACACACUAGCUCACCCCACACUCCAUCACAGUCUCUUCUGAGCCACUUUACCUGUACACACACAUCCACAACCAACCCCACUGCUUUGCUGGUGUGUGCAUAGACUAGUCCAAGGUGG
RNAcentral lists this long non-coding RNA (358 nucleotides) under Homo sapiens (human). Its description in RNAcentral is "HSALNT0354670". The record is from RNAcentral. Lineage: Eukaryota; Metazoa; Chordata; Mammalia; Primates; Hominidae.